GCAGCAAAGCACGCCCUCCUGGAGCACCCUCGGUUGAAUCAUGCAUAAGACAAACAGCCAGAAAAGAAUCUCAGGGAAAAUCAUGGCCAGGAACCUGGAUCCAUCAGAAAAUUGAAGUCACAGGACAAACCUCACUCUGAAAAUUGGAGACACAGGCAAAUAAAGAGGAUCCCAACUUACCAAGAGUAGAAGCCCACAUCUGGAGCACACAGGUGGCUGCUGCGUCUCCAGGCUUCCUGUCCCUGUGCCAUCAGAAAAGAAGGUGUGAGGGAGGAGUGCAGGAGGGCAAGAGAAAAAUGUCUUCCCAGAAACUCAGCGUAUGUCUCAGUGGUCAGAAAAAAUUAGCUGCUAUGUGCCACUGUCCUAGGUACUGAGAAUAUAAUGAUGAGCAAAACCAGACACUGUCCCCAGCCUUACAGAGCUCACACCUGUGACAUCCAUCCUAGCAUAUAUAAGCAGACUUUCAGAAAAUUCACCCUAACAAAUGGCUUUGCAUUGUUAGGAGACAUCAUGCGCAGCCCACAAGGGAUGUGUCUGCUGCUCUAAGAUCCAGAACAUUGUCUCUGUGACCCAUGACUACAUCCUACUGUGUCGGCAAGGCCAGGACUUGGAAUGAGUUUCCCGAUGGAGCCUGCCACUCACUGGGUCCUUUGUGGGAAUCAGCACAAUGGAGAAGACUAAGUUUUAUGGACUGAAUUGUGCCCCUCCCCCAAAAAAAUCAUGUUGGAAUCCUAACCCACAGUGUCUCAGGAUAGGACUGUACUGAAGAUAUGAUGAUUAAAUUAAACACGGUGAUUAAAUUAGGAUGAGGUCCUAUAGGUGGGCCCUAAUCCAAAGUGCAUGUGUC
This 847-nucleotide long non-coding RNA is filed under the name Pan troglodytes (chimpanzee). Its description in RNAcentral is "lincRNA". The record is from RNAcentral. Lineage: Eukaryota; Metazoa; Chordata; Mammalia; Primates; Hominidae.